This 253-nucleotide ribosomal RNA is filed under the name uncultured bacterium. RNAcentral describes it as "partial 16S ribosomal RNA". It matches the Rfam family "Bacterial small subunit ribosomal RNA", at positions 524 to 776 of the family's 1533-position model. The record is from RNAcentral.
UACGUAGGGACCAAGCGUUGUUCGGAUUUACUGGGCGUAAAGGGCUCGUAGGCGGCCAACUAAGUCGGACGUGAAAUCCCUCGGCUUAACCGGGGAACUGCGUCCGAUACUGGAUGGCUUGAGUUUGGGAGAGGGAUGCGGAAUUCCAGGUGUAGCGGUGAAAUGCGUAGAUAUCUGGAGGAACACCGGUGGCGAAGGCGGCAUCCUGGACCAACACUGACGCUGAGGAGCGAAAGCCAGGGGAGCAAACGGG